UGCCGCGUGCGGGAAGAAGGCCUUCGGGUUGUAAACCGCUUUUGUCAGGGAAGAAACKSUCUGGGCUAAUACCCUGGGSUAAUGACGGUACCUGAAGAAUAASCACCGGCUAACUACGUGCCAGCAGCCGCGGUAAUACKUAKGGUGCAAGCGUUAAUCGGAAUUACUGGGCGUAAAGCGUGCGCARGCGGUYUUGYAAGACAGAUGUGAAAUCCCCGGGCUCAACCUGGGAACUGCAUUUGUGACUGCARGGCUKGAGURCGGMARAGGGGGAUGGAAUUCCGCGUGUAGCARUGAAAUGCGUARAUAUGCGGAGGAACACCGAUGGCGAAGGCAAUCCCCUGGRCCUGUACUGACGCUCAUGCACRAAAGCGUGGGGAGCAAACAGGAUUAGAUACCCUGGUAGUCCACGCCCUAAACGAUGUCAACUGGUUGUUGGGAAGGUUCCUUCUCAGUAACGUAGCUAACGCGUGAAGUUGACCGCCUGGGGA
Molecule: ribosomal RNA, 491 nt
Filed under: uncultured bacterium
Lineage: Bacteria
Description: partial 16S ribosomal RNA
Rfam family: Bacterial small subunit ribosomal RNA
Source: RNAcentral